RNAcentral lists this long non-coding RNA (472 nucleotides) under Prunus dulcis (almond). Its description in RNAcentral is "sRNA ncRNA". Lineage: Eukaryota; Viridiplantae; Streptophyta; Magnoliopsida; Rosales; Rosaceae. The record is from RNAcentral.
UAAUAAUUUAUCGACAAAAAAGGAUACGGUCGCCUCAUUCCUUCACUACUCUACUACACAAACAUUUUUUUUUCUUUCCUAACAUGAGUAGAAGAAGUAAACCAAGGCCGACAGACUGUAGAAAAUAAUUUAGAGUUCAUAGCCACAGUCUAAGGCAUAGUUGACAAGGGCUUUGAACUCGUGAUCAUUAGAAAUGAGGCCGUCCUGAUUGGCAUCUGCAUAGCUUAAAGCUCUCCAAGCUCUGAAAGUGCUCCAACGCGACCCAAGUUUAUCGAAGGCUGCCUUCAACUCAUGCUUGGAAAGCUGCCCGUCCUUGGCAAAACUUUUGAACACUUCCACCACCAUCUCCCUGCGCCAUGGAACAUGAGCCUCCUUAAACUUAACCUCUUCCCUAAUGGAAACCUGAGGAACCAUGCCCCUAAUCAUAAUAUAUUUACUUGAAAUUAAUUGUUCUAGACACUAGAAGAAAGGC